This 501-nucleotide ribosomal RNA is filed under the name uncultured bacterium. RNAcentral's name for it is "bacterial SSU rRNA". It matches the Rfam family "Bacterial small subunit ribosomal RNA", at positions 29 to 525 of the family's 1533-position model. The record is from RNAcentral.
AGCGAACGUUUGCGGCGGGCUUAACACAUGCAAGUCGAACGAGAAUCCCUUCGGGGAGGAAAGUGGCGCACGGGUGCGUAACACGUGGAUAACCAACCCAUUGGUUUGGGACAACACCGGGAAACUGGUGCUAAUACCAGAUGUGUCGCAGCUGUCUUCAGGCGGUUGCGAGAAAGGCCCGCAAGGGUCGCCAACGGACGGGUCCGCGUCCCAUCAGCUAGUUGGUGAGGUAAUGGCUCACCAAGGCAAAGACGGGUAGCUGGUCUGAGAGGAUGAUCAGCCACACUGGAACUGAGACACGGUCCAGACUCCUACGGGAGGCAGCAGUGGGGAAUAUUGCGCAAUGGGCGAAAGCCUGACGCAGCCACGCCGCGUGAGCGAUGAAGGUCUUCGGAUCGUAAAGCUCUGUGGGGGGAGAAGAAGAAAGCCGGUGAAGAGCCGGCUCUGACGGUAUCCCCUUAGCAAGCACCGGCUAACUCCGUGCCAGCAGCCGCGGUAAAG